This 362-nucleotide ribosomal RNA is filed under the name Goniobranchus decorus. RNAcentral describes it as "partial 16S ribosomal RNA". It matches the Rfam family "Archaeal large subunit ribosomal RNA", at positions 2003 to 2633 of the family's 2987-position model. Lineage: Eukaryota; Metazoa; Mollusca; Gastropoda; Nudibranchia; Chromodorididae. The record is from RNAcentral.
AAUGGCCGCGGUACUUUGACCGUGCUAAGGUAGCGCAAUCAAUUGGCUCUUAAUUGGGGUCAGGAAUGAAUGGAGUUUACGUGGUUCAGCUGUCUCUUAGUUAAUUUAUUGAAGUUACUAUGCAGGUGAAAAAGCCUGGAAGUAGAAAAAGGACGAGAAGACCCUUAGAGUUUUUCUUAAUGUAAGAGUAAAAUUAGUUCCUUAUACUGGUUUUGUUGGGGCAACAUGGGAGCAGAGUAAUCUCCUGGAUUAAAUUUACCGAUUUUGUUAAAUUUGAAUAAACUACCUUAGGGAUAACAGCAUAAUUAAAAAUUAAGUUUGUGACCUCGAUGUUGGACUAGGAAACUGAAGGCUAGCCGUCU